UNUUAGCCCUAUAACACCCAGGUUCCCAUG
Molecule: non-coding RNA, 30 nt
Filed under: Mus musculus (house mouse)
Lineage: Eukaryota; Metazoa; Chordata; Mammalia; Rodentia; Muridae
Source: RNAcentral